Molecule: unclassified non-coding RNA, 281 nt
Filed under: uncultured fungus
Lineage: Eukaryota; Fungi
Description: partial contains small subunit ribosomal RNA, internal transcribed spacer 1, and 5.8S ribosomal RNA
Rfam family: Eukaryotic small subunit ribosomal RNA (bases 1-73)
Source: RNAcentral
UCAAACUUGGUCAUUUAGAGGAAGUAAAAGUCGUAACAAGGUCUCCGUUGGUGAACCAGCGGAGGGAUCAUUACAAGAGUCGCGAGACUCCAACCCACCGUGAACAUACCGUACGUUGCCUCGGCGGGCGGCCCCAGGGCGGGGCCCCCGGCCUGCCUCGCAGGUGCCCGCCGAGGUCACUUAGGACUCUAUUCUUACCGUGUCCUCUGAGCUACGUGUUUAAUAAAGUCAAAACUUUCAACAACGGAUCUCUUGGUUCUGGCAUCGAUGAAGAACGCAGC